CCUACGGGGGGCAGCAGUGAGGAAUAUUGGUCAAUGGGCGCGAGCCUGAACCAGCCAAGUAGCGUGAAGGAUGACUGCCCUACGGGUUGUAAACCUCUUUUAUAAAGGAAUAAAGUGAGGCACGUGUGCCUUUUUGUAUAUACUUUAUGAAUAAGGAUCGGCUAACUCCCUGCCAGCAGCCGCCGUAAUACGGAGGAUCUGAGCGUUUACCGGAUUUAAUGGGUUUAAAGGGAGCGUAGAUGGGUUGUUAAGUCAGUUGUGAAAGUUUGCGGCUCAACCGUAAAAUUGCAAUUGAUACUGGCAGUCUUGAGUACAGUUGAGGUAGGCGGAAUUCGUGGUGUAGCGGUGAAAUGCGUAGAUAUUAGGAGGAACACCAGUGGCGAAGGCGGCUUACUGGACUGUAACUGACGUUGAGGCUCGAAAGCGUGGGGAGCAAACAGGAUUAGAUACCCCUGUAGUC
This 460-nucleotide ribosomal RNA is filed under the name uncultured bacterium. Its description in RNAcentral is "partial 16S ribosomal RNA". It matches the Rfam family "Bacterial small subunit ribosomal RNA", at positions 338 to 795 of the family's 1533-position model. The record is from RNAcentral.